GUGUCAGCAGCCGCGGUAAUACGGAGGGUGCAAGCGUUGUCCGGAUUUAUUGGGUUUAAAGGGUGCGUAGGCGGUUUAUUAAGUCAGUGGUGAAAGACGGUCGCUCAACGAUUGCAGUGCCAUUGAUACUGGUAGACUUGAGUAUGAUUGAGGUAGCUGGAAUGGAUAGUGUAGCGGUGAAAUGCAUAGAUAUUAUCCAGAACACCAAUUGCGUAGGCAAGUUACUAAGUCAUAACUGACGCUGAGGCACGAAAGUGUGGGUAUCAAACAGGAUUAGAAACCCGCGUAGUCC
Molecule: ribosomal RNA, 292 nt
Filed under: uncultured Arcicella sp.
Lineage: Bacteria; Pseudomonadati; Bacteroidota; Cytophagia; Cytophagales; Flectobacillaceae
Description: partial 16S ribosomal RNA
Rfam family: Bacterial small subunit ribosomal RNA
Source: RNAcentral